This 1048-nucleotide long non-coding RNA is filed under the name Chrysemys picta bellii (western painted turtle). Its description in RNAcentral is "lncRNA (ENSCPBG00000001776.1)". The record is from RNAcentral. Lineage: Eukaryota; Metazoa; Chordata; Testudines; Emydidae.
UUCACAGGGUAUGUCUGGAUUUCAGUCAUGGAGUGUGACUGCAGCUUGAACAGACAUACCUGAGCUAGGUAGUUUGGGUCCUGGAACAGUGAAGCAAAAGCAGUAUAAACUUCAGUGUGGACUAGCCCCACCACCCUCAAGUAACUAUCCAGGUUUCUGGGCAGGUUUGUACAGCUAGUGCUGCCAUGGUUUUGCUGCUCUGGGACCUGAGCUAGCUAGAUGAAACAUCCCAGUUAUUGCAAUAUAUACAUACCCACCAUGUGGCCAUUCUCACUCAAGCUAGGCUAACUCCAGUGUAGAUAACUCCUAUUAAUUUUGCAGUGAAGCCAUAGCCUCAAGUGUUUCCAGCAAUUAUAAAUCCAAGUGUGCUAAGAACUGUGUGAAAGAGAAGCUGCAAGCAUUUUUUACAAGCAGCCAGUUACAAAGCACAUCAUCAUUAUAAUUAUUAUUUGGCACUUACACAGUAGAUCUCAAAGGGCUUUCCAAGCAGUUACCAACUUAUCCUUUGGUAAAUGAGAUGCAAAGGAUGAAAUAACUUGCCCAAGGUCUCACAGUGAGUCAGUUUCAUAUCCCUGUUGCCCACUCUUCCACUACUGUACUGGAAAUUGUUCCUGUUCUCGCACAGAACAUAUACAAGAACACUGCUGGUGAUGCUCUAGCCUGCCUUCUUAUUUCAGGCUGCAGCAGGUCCCUCAUUAUUUGUAUACAGAAAAAGGAUCAGCCAUGAAAUGUGUACGAAAAAGAAGCACUGCUGAGCAGUUGGAGACUUGUGGCAUCUGGCUAGACACUGCAAAGUUAAAGAAGCGCAAAAUACAGACUCUCGUAUCCAAGCCAACUUCAAACAUGCCAAAUCCACUUCUUGAGAGGAACUAUAAUAGUCACAUUUCAGUUAAUUUUACUCAGACAAGACUUUCUCAGCCAUACACCAGGCAAACUACCAUCUCUUCGUUCUUCAGCAUUCAACCAACAGGUACUGUAGAACAAUUUUUGCAAAUACACACACACACACACACACACACACACACACACACACACACACACACACACA